CCUACGGUGGGCAGCAGUGAGGAAUAUUGGUCAAUGGCCGGGAGGCUGAACCAGCCAAGUCGCGUGAGGGAAGACGGCCCUACGGGUUGUAAACCUCUUUUGUCAGGGAGCAAGGUGCAGGUCGGGACCUGCUGUGAGAGUACCUGAAGAAAAAGCAUCGGCUAACUCCGUGCCAGCAGCCGCGGUAAUACGGAGGGUGCGAGCGUUAAUCGGAAUUACUGGGCGUAAAGCGCUCGUAGGCGGUAUGUCAAGUCAAGGGUGAAAUCCCCGCGCUCAACGUGGGAACUGCCUUUGAAACUGGCAAACUGGAGUGUGUGAGAGGAUAGUGGAAUUCCAGGUGUAGGAGUGAAAUCCGUAGAUAUCUGGAGGAACAUCAGUGGCGAAGGCGACUAUCUGGCACAUAACUGACGCUGAGGAGCGAAAGCGUGGGUAGCAAACAGGAUUAGAUACCCCAGUAGUC
Molecule: ribosomal RNA, 460 nt
Filed under: uncultured bacterium
Lineage: Bacteria
Description: partial 16S ribosomal RNA
Rfam family: Bacterial small subunit ribosomal RNA
Source: RNAcentral